This 378-nucleotide long non-coding RNA is filed under the name Mus pahari (shrew mouse). Its description in RNAcentral is "predicted gene 13822 (MGP_PahariEiJ_G0003156.1)". The record is from RNAcentral. Lineage: Eukaryota; Metazoa; Chordata; Mammalia; Rodentia; Muridae.
AAAGGGGGGGUGGUGAAGAGAGGAACUUGGGAGCAAGGCUCUAUGGCAGGGAGGGGGGUGCCCUCCUUGGAGAUUUAUUGUCAUGCAUAAGCUGAUGACCAGCGGCAGUCCAGCAGUCCCUUUGCUGACAGACGGAGGCAGCUGAGAGAGCCAGCCUUGUGGAUCAAGGCUGGCAUUGGAGUGGACCAAGGCUGAUGAUUCUUCUCUCCCACGACGCUCCAGCAACCCCAAGAGUGAAGGAGUGGAGCAUGCUCAGAACUUGGUGGACUUGUGGAAGCCUGAGGAAACUAGGAUUCUUGGCCUCUCCAGUGUGAGGCAGCCAUGGCUGGGCUACCUGGACCACACCCUAAGCCAAUCUAAUAAAUCCCCCUUAAUAUC